Molecule: ribosomal RNA, 497 nt
Filed under: uncultured bacterium
Lineage: Bacteria
Description: partial 16S ribosomal RNA
Rfam family: Bacterial small subunit ribosomal RNA
Source: RNAcentral
GAUGAACGCUGGCGGCGUGCCUAAUACAUGCAAGUCGAGCGAACAGAUGAGUAGCUUGCUCCUCUGACGUUAGCGGCGGACGGGUGAGUAACACGUGGAUAACCUACCUAUAAGACUGGGAGAACGUCGGGAAACCGGAUCUAAUACCGGAUAAUAUAUUGAACUGCAUGGUUCAAUAGAGAAAGACGGUUUUGCUGUCACUUAUAGAUGGAUCCGCGCCGCAUUAGCUAGUUGGUAGGGUAACGGCUUACCAAGGCAACGAUGCGUAGCCGACCUGAGAGGGUGAUCGGCCACACUGGAACUGAGACACGGUCCCGACUCCUACGGGAGGCAGCAGUAGGGAAUCUUCCGCAAUGGGCGAAAGCCUGACGGAGCAACGCCGCGUGAGUGAUGAAGGUCUUCGGAUCGUAAAACUCUGUUAUUAGGGAAGAACAAAUGUGUAAGUAACUAUGCACGUCUUGACGGUACCUAAUCAGAAAGCCACGGCUAACUACGUG